UACGAAGGGUGCAAGCGUUACUCGGAAUUACUGGGCGUAAAGCGUGCGUAGGCGGUUUGUUAAGUCCGUUGUGAAAGCCCUGGGCUCAACCUGGGAAUUGCAGUGGAUACUGGCAAGCUAGAGUACGGUAGAGGAUGGUGGAAUUCCCGGUGUAGCGGUGAAAUGCGUAGAGAUCGGGAGGAACACCCGUGGCGAAGGCGGCUCACUGGCCCGGUACUGACGCUGAGGUGCGAAAGCGUGGGGAGCAAACAGG
Molecule: ribosomal RNA, 253 nt
Filed under: uncultured bacterium
Lineage: Bacteria
Description: partial 16S ribosomal RNA
Rfam family: Bacterial small subunit ribosomal RNA
Source: RNAcentral